Molecule: transfer RNA, 57 nt
Filed under: Heterocephalus glaber (naked mole-rat)
Lineage: Eukaryota; Metazoa; Chordata; Mammalia; Rodentia; Bathyergidae
Rfam family: tRNA
About the family: Transfer RNA (tRNA) molecules are approximately 80 nucleotides in length. Their secondary structure includes four short double-helical elements and three loops (D, anti-codon, and T loops).
Source: Rfam by way of RNAcentral
UAGCUCAAUGGUAGAGUGUUUGCCUUGCAUGCAAAAGGCCCUAGGUUUGAUUUCCAG